UAGCAUAUCAAUAAGCGGAGGAAAAGAAACUAACAAGGAUUCCCCUAGUAACUGCGAGUGAAGCGGGAAAAGCUCAAAUUUAGAAAUCUGGUAGUCUUUGGCUGCCCGAGUUGUAAUCUAGAGAAGCGUCUUCCGCGCUGGACCGUGUACAAGUCUUUUGGAAUAAAGCAUCAUAGAGGGUGAGAAUCCCGUCUUUGACACGGACUACCAGUGCUUUGUGAUGCGCUCUCAAAGAGUCGAGUUGUUUGGGAAUGCAGCUCAAAAUGGGUGGUAAAUUCCAUCUAAAGCUAAAUAUUGGCGAGAGACCGAUAGCGAACAAGUACCGUGAGGGAAAGAUGAAAAGCACUUUGGAAAGAGAGUUAAACAGUACGUGAAAUUGUUGAAAGGGAAACGCUUGAAGUCAGUCGCGUUGUUCAGAACUCAGCCUGGCUCCCGCUUGGUGUAUUUUCUGUUGAACGGGCCAGCAUCAAUUUUGACCAUUGGAAAAAGGCCAGAGGAAUGUGGCAUCUUCGGGUGUGUUAUAGCCUCUGGUUGCAUACAAUGGUUGGGAUUGAGGAUCUCAGCAUGCCUUUUGGCCGGGGUUCGCCCACGUUCAUGCUUAGGAUGCUGGCGUAAUGGCUUUAAACGACCCGUCUUGAAACACGGACCAAGGAGUCUAACAUGCCUGCGAGUGUUUGGGUGGAAAACCCGAGCGCGUAAUGAAAGUGAAAGUUGGGAUCCCUGUCGUGGGGAGCACCGACGCCCGGACUUGAACUUCUGUGACGGAUCCGCGGUAGAGCAUGUAUGUUGGGACCCGAAAGAUGGUGAACUAUGCCUGAAUAGGGUGAAGCCAGAGGAAACUCUGGUGGAGGCUCGUAGCGAUUCUGACGUGCAAAUCGAUCGUCAAAUUUGGGUAUAGGGGCGAAAGACUAAUCGAACCAUCUAGUAGCUGGUUCCUGCGA
RNAcentral lists this ribosomal RNA (941 nucleotides) under Hyphoderma pinicola. RNAcentral's name for it is "eukaryotic LSU rRNA". It matches the Rfam family "Eukaryotic large subunit ribosomal RNA", at positions 36 to 963 of the family's 3401-position model. The record is from RNAcentral. Lineage: Eukaryota; Fungi; Basidiomycota; Agaricomycetes; Polyporales; Hyphodermataceae.